RNAcentral lists this non-coding RNA (167 nucleotides) under [Clostridium] ultunense Esp. Its description in RNAcentral is "T-box". It matches the Rfam family "T-box leader". Rfam says of the family: Uncharged tRNA acts as the effector for transcription antitermination of genes in the T-box leader family. The record is from RNAcentral. Lineage: Bacteria; Bacillati; Bacillota; Tissierellia; Tissierellales; Tepidimicrobiaceae.
ACUUUAGCUAUGAAGGGACCUAGUAGAUAAUAAAGUCUUUUUAGAGAACCAAUGGUUGGUGAAAAUUGGUAAGGCUUGUUAUUGAAUCCAGCCCUGAGCUUUUUAAUACCAUGAGUGAACCAAAAGGUUAACUAGGGUGGCAACGCGGGAAUACUCUCGUCCCUAAA